RNAcentral lists this long non-coding RNA (10804 nucleotides) under Xyrichtys novacula (pearly razorfish). The record is from RNAcentral. Lineage: Eukaryota; Metazoa; Chordata; Actinopteri; Labriformes; Labridae.
CAGGUUUGACUGGCACUUUUUUUGGGUUGUUAAGGUGUGUGAGUGUGUGAGUGUGUGUGUGUGUGGGGGGGUAAUUUGUAGUAAUUGUUCAUUGCAGGUAUUUUGGUAGUUGUAUUUUCUUUAUUUGCAGAAGUGUGUACAUUUUCUUCUGUGUUAUUUCUGUGUUAAGUGUGUUUGUUUCAACAUCCUCAUUUGCAGGAGUGUUUAUUUCGGGGGUUAUUUUGUAGUUUGUUUAUUUGUUUGUUUCCAGUUAUGUUUCUCUUUAUUGGGGCUUGCGUCUUAUUACAUUGUGAUUUUUAGAUGAACUGUUAUAAAAUGAAACUCAAGCUUUGUAUUUUAACCUGUCUCAGCUGUGAGUAGAUGGUUGGAAUUUCCCAAGGGUGAAAUUCUCUUGGGUGGCGUUGUCAGUUGAAGAAUGGCACCUCGUGCCGCUCUGUUGCGCUACAUUAGCAUUAGCACCACACAGUUCUUUGCUAAAUAAAAAUCACAUGUUGAAACGUAACAUUUUUCCUUCGUGAUUCAAGUGCAUACAGAGGGCAGUUAAGCUAUUUUAAGUGAAAAAUGAUGCAAAAGUCUCCACACUGAUUGUUUUGUCUUGUAGAUUGGGAGUAUGUUGAAAGGUGUUCCACAAGGGUCUAUACAGGGUCCUCUAUUAUUCCUUUUUCUUAUAAGUAACCUAAAAUAAACCAACCAAUUCUGAACUUAAGUUUCCACAGCAAAUAGAAAAAGGGCACUUUUUAAAAGACUCCCCUUGGAGUUUCAAAAGUUUGGAUUCAAGUGUUAGAAUAAUGUGCAUAAAUGUAUAUAGAAGUUAUCAUUAUUCCUCAUAUUCUUAUGUAAGAGUUGACUACAAGUAUAAAAACUGUUUUGACCUCUUUUUAUACAUUAUAUAAGAGUGUUUCCUAACUUCUCUCUCCAAUAGAUUUACUACACAGCAGAACAAUGUUCUUUCAGUUUUCUGUGACUGGGUCUUUCCUAUCAGCAGGUGGGGGUGUGUGAGUGAUGGAUCCUCCGCAAUAAAUCGUGGGGAGUUUUUGAGGAGGUGCCGCUGUUAUCAGAAGGAGCUCAUUAGAUGCCGCCUUGACCUUCACAUAUUCACAAGUGUUCAUUAUUAUGCUUUAUGAGAAUGUUUACUUUGCUGCACCAUCUACCACCCCUUUUAGAAACAUUAUGUAACCAGGGACAAGACUAAAUAAAAGAGACUGGGCGGAAAUACCUUUAGAGUGGUUUCGACAUGGUACCUGAAGCUAUCUCGGUCCAUUCUCCUCGAGUAUAUACCAUUGUCUUUCUCUUCUUUAUAUGUUAUCAGGUAAAUGUUGCAGGUUUUAGACCUAACAUUUCUUUGGUCCUUCGAGCCGGAUUCCAAUAGACCAGACGAUUCCAGCAGGUGAGGUGGACGACAGAUAAGACCGUGGCCACGGCAGACUCUUUAGGAUGAGUCUUGAAGACCUCUUUGAGGAACUGGACUCGACCUGCCUGCUGGGAUCCGACGGUUGACGGAAAUCCGAAGCCAAGGGGAAAGACAAGUGGUGAGUUGGUCUCUUAUAAAAAGGAACGUGGAAUGAUUGAGAUUCGCUUCGCGUAGAGAAUCUAUAAAAGACCAAACAAACAAAAGGACGCACAGGUCCUACGUAUAAAAAUCUGUGGAAAAGGACGCACGGGUCCUACGUAUAAAAAUCCGUUGAAAAGGACGCACGGGUCCUACGUAUAAAAAUCCGUUGAAAAGGACGCACGGGUCCUACGUAUAAAAAUCCGUUGAAAAGGACGCACGGGUCCUACGUAUAAAAAUCCGUGGAAAAGGACAAACGGGUCCUACAAAUCUGUGAAAAAAGGACGGUAGAGUCCAAAUUGGAAAAUUUUAAUUCAAGGACGCACGGGUCCUACAAAGCCGUUAAAAAAUUCUGCAGAACAAAACACGUGUUAAAAGUGUGAUUGUGAAAGUGUGAGAGUGAUUGGAAUAGAGAUAUAUCACUAGAUAUAUCCUAUUCAUACCAAAACAGUGGGAUUGUAAGUAGUGACCUUAUUGUGGAAGCAAAGGCAAGAAUUCUCCACUCGCAAGAGUAGAAGUGAGAAUUACCACAUAAGGAAUUUUUUAUCACUACCCCAUUGAAAGAACCCAGCUUAAUAGGACACCCUAGGUGUCACCUAAGCUGGACCAAAACACAUAAAAAUGGGGACGGAAACCAGUAAGGCUAAUUUGGAACAAUUAAGAUGUCAAGAUUGGAGAAUCUUUGAAAAAGAGCCAGAAAAAUUACAAUUCCUCGAAUUAUGGGUAACUAAAUUUGGAUUCGAUGGCAGCCUAAGAACAAGCCAAUUAAAUAAACUACACGACUCCAUAAGCAUAAAAUAUGGGUGUCAAAUGAUUGAUGAAUGGAAAAAAGUAGCAAAAGCCAGAGAGGAUGGAGAAAGGAGGAGAAAAAAGGGAAGAACAAAUGGAGCUAGUGCAUUUUUUGCAGAAGGUGACAAUGAAAAUGAAGCCUUCUAUCAAAAUGCAAGAGGCAGAAGCAGAAGAGGAUUCAGAGGUAGAGGACAAGAUAGGCCCAGACCAGGAGGAGCAAAUCAAAGAGGGACAUGUUGCUGGGCAUGUGGAAAGGAGGGACAUAUAGCCCGCAGUUGCAAUAACAAAUCAAAGGGAGGAAGGCGUGAGCAGUCAGGACGAGAUCAAAAGCUAUAAGUAAAGACAACUUAAUAAUAAUAAUAAUUAUAAUAAUAAUACUGAUAAUAAUGCAGAAAUGAAAGGUAGAAAAGGCAGUUAAAUAGGCAGAAAGGUUUAAUGCAGACUGCAAAUUUUUAACAAGUUAAAUUCUCUGUACAGUCUCUGUUCUCUGCACAAAUGCUAGAAUGAUACAUCAGAGGCCAGUUACGACCUUGACUCCUCCAGAGACACAGCAGCCAAAGAAUCCCUCCCUAUGCAGAAGCAUGUAGCUAUAAAAAGACAAAACUGUGACUUAACUGUUACAGCCUAUGAAGUAUAAGUUGUACAUGUAGACGUGUCACUGGAGAAGAAGAGGUUUUCUGACCUCAGCUGGCAUCCCUGUUAAACAUUUGAACCAACUGAUUGAUAUUAUACCUUAUUGGAACUUAAAGAAGUAACCAUAGUAAAGUGCAGAGAACACCAAAGCUAACUUGGAAUUAAAAACCCUCUCUAUAAUGCUAUUUAACUUAAGAUUAACUCCAAAUGUGACAAUGAAUUUCAUACUAUAUGAGAUAAAUAGGACGACUAUGGAAUAAUAAGAGAGAUGAUAAACCGUUUGAUGACUAUGACAAAGAGAACAAGAAAGAAGCAGGUUAAGAGGCAGGAAUUUCAAUAGAGAAAACAAUAGAAGAAGUAGAAGUUUUGACAAAAGUUAUGAAUCACAAGAGCAAAGAGAUAAAGAACAGUACCCUGACCAAGGUCAUGAACCACAACAUCAGAGAAUUGUAGAGCUUUUUUGUCACUAGGUAAAGAGCUGUAGAAAAACGUAUCAAGCAGGACUAGAAGAGGGAGAGACAGCAAAUGUUAUUUGACAGAAAUAAAGAGAAAGUGUGAACAGAGACGAGACAGAGGAGGAAGAAGUGCUAAACUUGGAGAAGAUAAAUAAAUAUAUAAAGAUAUUUUGAUAGAUAGAUUGAUAGAUAUACUUUAUUGAUCCCAAAUUGGGAAAUUCUCUUGUUAUAGCAGCAAAAAGAAAAUAUAAAAUUAAAUAUAAUAAGUAGUACAAUGCAGACUAAAAAUAAUAAAAAUACUAAGUAUAUACAAUAAAUAUAGGCUAAAUAUACUAAACAUCCUAAGAGAUAAAAGUGAGAUAUGAAGAAUGUGGGCUAUUGAAAUUAGUAAAAAAUAUGAAAUGAGUAAUAAAUAUGAAAUGAGAAAUAUUACAGAUGGGAUGAUAGAUAUACAAUUUAAGGUGCUCUGUAAUAUGAUGUGAUAGGAGUUUUUAAGAAUGGACUAUACAGCAGACAGGCGUGAGUCCCUGUCUGACAUAUGUGAGUUAUUUAACAGUGCAAUAACUUGUGGCAGGACAGAUUUCCUGUAUCAGCGGAGCUGCAACAGUCUGUUGGUGAAGGAAUACAGUGUGCAGACAUAAAACCGCAGAGAUAGUUAAUGAUUCAUGGUUUACCUUAACCUUUUUGUGUGACUCCGGUGCAAAGAAAACAGUUCUUAGACAUAAACUAUCACAGAUUAGGUUUUCCAAACUAAAGAUUUUUGUCAAAUCAACACACAGAGAGAGCUUGAGAGGUAGUAAUAGCGAGUCAUGGGCCUUGCCAUGUCUCGACAGGAGGGAGGAGUGUAGUAGUUAACCCUAUUGAUUCAUAAAUUAUUUUAAAAAAAAAUAAUAAUAAUAAUAAAUAAAAAAUAAAUAAUUUACUAUUUGAUUUGUUCAGUUUGUUUAAGACAUAAUGCUCAAGACAGUAUAAAACCAAAAAGAGGCAAAUUUCCACCAACCAAUGCAUUAUUUGAAGCCAUGCACAUGGACUUCAUAGAAUUAAAUCAGUGUGAGAGAAAGAAAUAUUGUUCAGUGUUAAUAGAUCCUUUCACUAAAUGGAUAGAAUUAUUUCCUGUUACCCAUCCAGAUGCAUUAACAGUAGCAAAAAUCCUGCGUAGAGAAAUAAUUUCUUGAUUUGGCAUUCCAAAACGAAUCUACAGUGACAAUGGAACUCAUUUUGUCAAUGAAAUAAAUAAAUAAAUAAAUAAAUAAUAAUAACUAGAAAAUGCAAGUUCUGAAGAAAUUGCGAGAUGGAUUGCUCCAGCUAAAAUUGUAAUUGCUAAGCUGCUAUUGUAAAUGGUUUAAGUUCAAAAAUUAUGCGAAAGAUAUGAGAUUUGAAGAUUCAGAAAGGGUUGAAUCAGUUUAAAUGAGUUGAAAUUAGUUUGAAAAAAUUGAAUACUGAAUGAAGAAUGAAAUGAUUUAAAACUGAAAAAAUUAAAAUGAUCAUAAUCUGAAUGUAUAGAGGAGUUGAAGGCUUUUAAAGUUGUGUAAAGAAAAUGUGAGAAAAGGGCCAAUUUAAAAAUUCCGUAAUGUAUUUCUAAUAAGAAAAAUUGGUUCGAAAACCUGGAAUAUCCCGGAAAGGAAGAAUGUUAGGAAAAUUUUGAAUAUAAGCUGGAAUCUCCUGAAGUUUGAAUGGUUUUUAAUACGUUGAAGUAAGUGGAAGGAAUUAAAAAAAAAAUAAAGGUACUGCUAAUGACACCCACAGCAGUAAAAAUAGCACAAAGAAGUAGUUGGAUACAUCUUUCCCAUUGCAAAAAACCUAUAUGGGUUUUAGUUAGGAAAGUCUGACUUCAAAGGGGGGCGUCCUUAUAGUGGGCGUUCGUCUCAAUGUCAGUGAAGAUUAGAUGGUGUUGAAUUCCUUAGGAGCUUAGGAAAAUGGGAAAGUUAAGUAUCUUACUUCUGCUAAACCUGAAACUGUUAAUUUACCUACUGAAACAUUAUUUACAACUUCAGAUGAACUUAAGGAAGGAAAGAGAAGUGACAACAACGAUAGUCCUCACAUCCUGUGUGACUACCAAUCAAAAAUCACAUUCAGCUGUUCUGAAGGCGACCAUGUGCAGAGAGCAAACCUGAGAGACAGUGAGCAGGGGUAUGAAUCACCCAGACGGACACCACAGUUGCUUCAUGUAGUGAAGACACUGAGAACUUUACCAUAGCUUAACUGCUACUAGGCGUUUCUGUUAUUUUGUUUACAAUGGGAUUUUGUGCAUGCUUGUUUUGUCAAUAAACACUUAUACUUAUGUUUAUUAAAGGUACAUCACAAAAUAAAAAAAAAAUUAGUUAACAAAAAUGAUGGAAGAAUAAUAUUAAUAAAGAUAUGAAUAACAUAUAGUGGAAUGCUUCGCAAUCCCUCUCAAUAAAUAAUAAUUAAAAAAAAAAACUAAUUUGAAGUGAACAUGUGGUACAGAUAUGCAAAAAUAUCUAGUAAAAAUGAAGAAUCAGUCUAACUUCUAUGUCUGUACUAGGAAUUCCCUAACCAUAACAAAAGUGUAUGUGUUUUCUGUAGCUGUACCUGAAUGACAGCAGACUGAUAAUAGGGCCUUAGUAACUUUAAUCCUAACUGUUAUAACUUUCUAGACCAGUGUGACAAAUUUAACCUCUGCAGUUAGUCUUAUUCCUUUGUUGAGCCACUCCAGAGUAAAAGAAAUUAGCAAACAGAGUCAGACCCGACUUAUAUAGAUAGUUCCUUGUGAGGUACCAGAUGAGUAUAAACUAGUAAAUCAAGUUGCUGCAGGCUUUGAGUCUCUCGUCUGUCCUUGGUGUACAAUGAACAAAAAUAUAGAUCAAAUCAGAAUCAACUACAUCCAUUUCAACGUUCAAAAGCUAGGUAAUUGGACUGAGGCUGGUUUUCAGGCCGUUCACUCGCAGUUAUCUGUAACAUCCCUGAUGGCUUUCCAAAACCGUAUAGCCCUUGACACGCUGCUUGCAGAAAAAGGAGGUGUAUGUGCCAUGUUUGGAGAAACGUGUCGCACGUUCAUUCCUGAUAACACUGCUGCUGAUGGCAGCCUCACUCGAGCCAUAGAGGGCCUAAAAACGCUUCACAGCAAAAUGAAAGACCACUCAGGAAUAGAUAACUCCUCUUGGGACAAUUGGAUGAAUGUAUUUGGGAAAUACAAAAAAUCUUGUAGAUUCAGUCCUAAUCUCUGUUGCUGUUUUUGCAGCUAAUUUGACCUUGUGUGGAUGUUGUUGUAUUUCUGUAUUUGUUCUCUUCUUAACCGUCUUAUCACCGCAGUGUUGUCUCCUGUGGAGCAGCAGAUGCAGGAAUUGUACCCGCUGCUCCAUCAGCAGGACGAGGAGGACAGAUUUGAUGACACUCAAUGGCCUGACCUGUGCCCUAAUCCAGAUGAUGAGUAUAAUUCUGACUAAAGCAACGUCUUGUACCUCCGUGUGUAAAUUCUUUGUAGUCAUACACAUGAACUCGCAGCUGAAAAUCGAGAGAAGUGGCUGAACUAGAGGGAUUAUGAGAAUUUGAGCAAAGUAAUGAUAAACAGGAGGGAAAUGUUAGAAUAAUGUGCAUAAAUGUAUAUAGAAGUUAUCAUUAUUCCUCAUAUUCUUAUGUAAGAGUUGACUACAAGUAUAAAAACUGUUUUGACCUCUUUUUAUACAUUAUAUAAGAGUGUUUCCUAACUUCUCUCUCCAAUAGAUUUACUACACAGCAGAACAAUGUUCUUUCAGUUUUCUGUGACUGGGUCUUUCCUAUCAGCAGGUGGGGGUGUGUGAGUGAUGGAUCCUCCGCAAUAAAUCGUGGGGAGUUUUUGAGGAGGUGCCGCUGUUAUCAGAAGGAGCUCAUUAGAUGCCGCCUUGACCUUCACAUAUUCACAAGUGUUCAUUAUUAUGCUUUAUGAGAAUGUUUACUUUGCUGCACCAUCUACCACCCCUUUUAGAAACAUUAUGUAACCAGGGACAAGACUAAAUAAAAGAGACUGGGCGGAAAUACCUUUAGAGUGGUUUCGACAUGGUACCUGAAGCUAUCUCGGUCCAUUCUCCUCGAGUAUAUACCAUUGUCUUUCUCUUCUUUAUAUGUUAUCAGGUAAAUGUUGCAGGUUUUAGACCUAACACAAGCCACUUACACCCAAUUUUCUGUGUGAAAGAAAUGUCCAAAACCAAAUUGCUGUUUUCUACUGAAUCUUUGCCUCUGAAUUUGUGGAAAACAUUGCACAUCCACUCUUGUGUGGCUAUAAAGCUUUCAUAACUCAUCCAUAUGAUCUCCUCUGGCUCCAUAUAACAUGACAGCAAAGGCCAAAAUCCCAAGUCCAGUCAGCCAGGUGAGUAGAUCUUCUUUUUCUGUUCUAUGAUUGAUACUUUAGUCGCCCUUAUCAUGACAGAGGUAUGAUUUAAACAGACAUUUUGAUGUGAAAAGACCUGUCUGUACAUACUGAGUAUGUCUGUACUCCGCUCUGUGUCCUGGUUGAACAGUUCAGUUUUGGAUUUAUGAGUUAUCAGCUCAUUUGUUGAAGUGAAAUUGAGGCUCAUUCAUUCUGCCUCUUUUAGAGUCAUGUACCCCACUUUAUCCUCAGAGACAUGUCACUUGAUUUGCUUUAACUCCUCCGAUUAUAUAUAACCUGUAAUUCUGCCUUUGAUUAUCUUGGGCUGCCACCCCUGUGAAUUAAUCUGUUAAUUAGCGUUUGCAGCUUGUGUUGACUCACUUUGUCACUUCCUGCUUGUAAUUACAGAGAGAAGGCUGACAUGAAUGACUUCGCCUGGCUGACAGGUCGUAUUUAUGUUCGAUCACAGACAACAGGGAGGCAGGAUCAGCCUGCAGACGGCCUGAUAAUCUCUACAGGGGCUGAUAUCUCAGAUUUGGGAAACCUGAAGGAGGUCUGCAGGGUGUUUUUCAAAAUACAAAAUCAACCAUUUUUACACUGUAGAGAUUCUCCUCAGGGGUCACACUCAGAGACAGAGACACACUGCUGUGCUGUUAUGUUACCAUGGGGUAAAAAUGCUCCUGAUAACUCAUUCAAAUUAUAACCAUUUCAACACAUCAGUUAAAAACUAGUUUGGUGAAAUUUCAGGAAGCAAAUAAGACUUGGCUCCACUCAAAGUUGAUCCACUGACUGGCUACCAGCACAUCAGCUACUGUUAACAUAACAUACAUAGGAGUCAGUCAGACAGGACAUGAUCGUUUCUGAACACUGAGACCUUUAUGCUAGGUCAGUGGUUCUCAAGUCCAGUCCUCGAGGCCCACUGUCCUGCAUAUUUUGGAUGUUUCCCUGCUCCAACACACCUGAUUCAAAUGAUCAGCUCGUUAUCAAGCUCUGUAAUGGCUUACUAACGAGCUGAUCAUUUGAAUCAGGUGUCUGACUGGACUUGAGAACCACUGUGCUAGGGUGACCAUACGUCCUUUUUUACCCGGACAUGUCCUCUUUUUGGGGGCUGUCUCGCCUUGUCUGGGGGGGUUAUAAAAUCCCUCAAAUGUCUGGGGUUUUGUAUGGAAGUUUUGAGUUUGUGUCGCAUGGAUUUACUGAGUUAGAAGCACGUAAAAAACACUCGACCCGACCUGAAAAACUCUCAAAAUUUGCAAAUUGCGACUUCAUGUUGUUGUGUCACCCUACUUCAUGCUCUUUAUCCACUAAUCCAAUGAGGAAACUCAGUCAUUAAAAUAAAGACCAUCACUGCAGAGGAGUGUUUACUCCUUUCCUACUGCACUGUGAAAAUAUGUUAGCAAGACAUUAGCUAAUGCCAGGCAUUAGCUUACAAAACUAAUAACAACAGUGUUGUUUCCGUUGACACUCCUUUUUUUCCACGACGAAGACAUGACAUUGACGAGCUAAACAUCAGUCUUAGAUGACUAAAAUAUGACGAGACGAAUGUUCGUUUACGUUGACGAGAUGGGACUAGACGAAACGUUAGUGGUGGAUGACGAACAGAGUUGCAAAAUUCAUGAGCAUUUCGUCAGUCAAACACUGAACAUAUAUCCUGCAGUGUUGUUUUCUUUGACGAUGACGUUGAAGAAAUAUUUCUGUUGUCUUCGUCAACGAAAACAACACUGAUUAACAAUCAUUUCAACAAUUGAAUACCCUUUGGGGAUUAAUAAAGUUCUUAUUUUUAUUCUUAUUCUUAAUACACUGAAAUUCCUCGUUAACAAUGCUAAAUUUGUUAAUGAAAAUAAAGAUGAUAGGAUUCAGACAAUCAUAAUUGUUAACCAUUUAAACCAAUCAUUCUCUGGCAACACUCGAGCUGGUCCAGGUUCUUCUAAAAAUCAUUGUCCUAUGAAAAGCCAAACAAUGUUCCUGCUGCAGCUGACAUCACUGACAAUGAGCGACUCUGAAGAAAGAGACAACCUGUGGACACUUGUGUAAUUGGGUCUGCUCUGAUUUGUUCUGCGGAUCCUUUGAAAGGGUAGUUUAACUCAUCAUCACACCUUUUAGUGAUCAGCAUAUGGUACAAAUUAAACAACUUCUCCAGAGCUGAGAGCUGAUUCUAACUCCUUCUCCCUUUUUUCAGAUCUGAGAGUCAGCUGAUCCCAGACCUGCUCUAACUCUCUAAUCCUGAUGAGUCAGAGUCAACAGAAGUGGUCACGGUGCCUUUUGAGAGCAACCUUCAUCAGAGUCCUUCUCUCUGAGCCCUUUCUUCAUCUCUUCAUCUCUGUGGCUCAGAUUUAUUGGAGGACUGACGCUGAAAUUUCAGGCUUCCUUCUGCCCGCUGGAUCAGGAUCACACAGCCAACUGUGGACUGCUUCACACCUCCAUUAAUCUGAGUCUUCUGCUCUCACUGAUGGAGAGACAAAAGAGCCACAGCGCCCCCUGCUGCAAGUAACAACACAUGACCUCAAGCAAGGUAUGGAUCUGUCUGCAGAGGGACAUGACAGGAGUUGGGUAUCUGUUUCCACAAAGAUAAAAUCAACACAUUUUUACCCACAAAGAGCAAAUUUUUCUCAGCAGAAACAUGAAAAUGAGAGAGUUUGACUGUCAAAGUAAAACAGUUUUUGUAUUUAUUUAAAACUUCUAAAAAAAAAAUUAGGUAAACUCCGGAAAUACUGAGGCAAACCCAUGCUUUUAUUUUGAAAACAGAAAUCCAUCCAUUUUCUACCACAUAUUCCCAUUCCCGGGGUUGCAAGUGGGGGUAAGCCUAUCCCAGCAUCUUUGGGCAAAGGCAGGGGACACCCUGGACAAGUCGCCAGUUCAUCGCAGAGCUGACAUAUAGAGACAAACAACCAUCCACACUCACAUUAACACCUACAGGCAAUUUGAGAGCGGCCAAUUAACUGUACCCCACUUAGGCAUGUUUUUGGGAUGUGGGAGGAAACUGGAGUACCCGGAGUAAACCCACACAGACACAGGGAGAACAUGCAAACUCCACAGAGAAUUGCCCUGACCCGGAUUCGAACCCAGGACCUU